GCCUGGCUGGCUCAGUUGGUAGAGCAUGUAACUCUUGAUUUCGGGGUUGUAAGUUCAAGCCCCAUGCUGGGUG
RNAcentral lists this transfer RNA (73 nucleotides) under Felis catus (domestic cat). It matches the Rfam family "tRNA". From Rfam's summary of the family: Transfer RNA (tRNA) molecules are approximately 80 nucleotides in length. RNAcentral also lists the same sequence under 1 other name. The record is from Rfam by way of RNAcentral. Lineage: Eukaryota; Metazoa; Chordata; Mammalia; Carnivora; Felidae.